UAGAUGCUAACCAACGAAGGGCCUCUCUGGU
RNAcentral lists this non-coding RNA (31 nucleotides) under Mus musculus (house mouse). Lineage: Eukaryota; Metazoa; Chordata; Mammalia; Rodentia; Muridae. The record is from RNAcentral.